AGAACGAACGCUGGCGGCAUGCCUAAUACAUGCAAGUCGAACGAAGGCUUCGGCCUUAGUGGCGCACGGGUGCGUAACGCGUGGGAAUCUGCCCCUUGGUUCGGAAUAACAGUUGGAAACGACUGCUAAUACCGGAUGAUGACGAAAGUCCAAAGAUUUAUCGCCAAGGGAUGAGCCCGCGUAGGAUUAGCUAGUUGGUGAGGUAAAGGCUCACCAAGGCGACGAUCCUUAGCUGGUCUGAGAGGAUGAUCAGCCACACUGGGACUGAGACACGGCCCAGACUCCGUACGGGAGGCAGCAGUAGGGAAUAUUGGACAAGUGGGACGAAAGCCUGACUCCAGCAAUCG
Molecule: ribosomal RNA, 347 nt
Filed under: uncultured soil bacterium
Lineage: Bacteria
Description: bacterial SSU rRNA
Rfam family: Bacterial small subunit ribosomal RNA
Source: RNAcentral